Molecule: long non-coding RNA, 405 nt
Filed under: Chelydra serpentina (North American snapping turtle)
Lineage: Eukaryota; Metazoa; Chordata; Testudines; Chelydridae
Description: lncRNA (ENSCSRG00000006697.1)
Source: RNAcentral
GCGCGUUAAUCUCCAGGCCCGCAGCCUGCUGGCUGAGCCCCUGGUGGCCGCCCGGAAAUCGCUGCCCGGCAGCACCCUCCCCUUCCCCCGCGUCUCCAGCGUCUUGGAGACGGGCGCGGUGGGCUGUGCAGCUGGCCGGGAGCUCCAGGCAAGGCGCAGCAUGGAGACCCCGCAGCAGGGACCCCGCCAGUGCCCACCCCGUGCCCUUCCCCCAGUUCCAAGAUGAAAUUCCACUUAGUCGUCCAAAAAGAAAGAAGCCCAAAGGAAAAAAUGCACUGGAGGGUAUUGUUCAUGCAGCUGUCCGUCGGCCAUCUGAGAGUAGCGAACCUCUAACUCCUGAGAUUCAGGAUGCUCCACCUCAGAGGAAACGCAAGAAGAAGAGAAUGCCUCCUGGUAUGUGGAGAG